Molecule: ribosomal RNA, 253 nt
Filed under: uncultured bacterium
Lineage: Bacteria
Description: partial 16S ribosomal RNA
Rfam family: Bacterial small subunit ribosomal RNA
Source: RNAcentral
UACGUAGGGACCAAGCGUUGUCCGGAAUUAUUGGGCGUAAAGAGCUCGUAGGCGGCUGUCCACGUCGGGUGUGAAAGCUCAGGGCUCAACCCUGAGAUGCCAUUCGAUACGGGACGGCUAGAGGUAGGUAGGGGAAAGUGGAAUUCCUGGUGUAGCGGUGAAAUGCGUAGAUAUCGAGAGGAACACCUGCGGCGAAGGCGGGUUGCUGGGCUGACACUGACGCUGAAGCGCGAAAGCUAGGGGAGCGAACGGG